RNAcentral lists this ribosomal RNA (1375 nucleotides) under uncultured bacterium. RNAcentral describes it as "16S ribosomal RNA". It matches the Rfam family "Bacterial small subunit ribosomal RNA", at positions 30 to 1395 of the family's 1533-position model. The record is from RNAcentral.
UGAACGCUGGCGGUAUGCUUAACACAUGCAAGUCGAACGGAAACGAUACUAGCUUGCUAGUAGGCGUCGAGUGGCGGACGGGUGAGUAACGCGUAGGAAUCUGCCUGAUAGUGGGGGAUAGCCCGAAGAAAUUCGGAUUAAUACCGCAUAAUCUAUUCGUAGUAAAGUGGGGGACUUUCGAGCCUCACGCUAUCAGAUGAGCCUGCGUAAGAUUAGCUAGUUGGUAGGGUAAAAGCCUACCAAGGCGACGAUCUUUAGCUGGUCUGAGAGGAUGAUCAGCCACAUCGGGACUGAGACACGGCCCGAACUCCUACGGGAGGCAGCAGUGGGGAAUAUUGGACAAUGGGGGCAACCCUGAUCCAGCAAUACCGCGUGUGUGAAGAAGGCCUGAGGGUUGUAAAGCACUUUCAAUUGUGAAGAAAAGCUAGUGGUUAAUAGCCAUUAGCCUUGACGUUAACUUUAGAAGAAGCACCGGCUAACUCCGUGCCAGCAGCCGCGGUAAUACGGAGGGUGCAAGCGUUAAUCGGAAUUACUGGGCGUAAAGCGUGCGUAGGCGGUUUAUUAAGUCAGAUGUGAAAGCCCCGGGCUUAACCUGGGAACUGCAUUUGAAACUGGUCAACUAGAGUAUGGUAGAGGAAAGUGGAAUUUCUGGUGUAGCGGUGAAAUGCGUAGAUAUCAGAAGGAACAUCAAUGGCGAAAGGCAACUUUCUGGACCAAUACUGACGCUGAGGUACGAAAGCGUGGGUAGCAAACAGGAUUAGAUACCCUGGUAGUCCACGCCGUAAACGAUGAUAACUAGCCGUUGGGGGGAUUUACCCCUUAGUGGCGAAGCUAACGCGUUAAGUUAUCCGCCUGGGGAGUACGGCCGCAAGGUUAAAACUCAAAGGAAUUGACGGGGACCCGCACAAGCGGUGGAGCAUGUGGUUUAAUUCGAUGCAACGCGAAGAACCUUACCUGGUCUUGACAUCCUGCGAACUUUCUAGAAAUAGAUUGGUGCCUUCGGGAACGCAGUGACAGGUGCUGCAUGGCUGUCGUCAGCUCGUGUCGUGAGAUGUUGGGUUAAGUCCCGUAACGAGCGCAACCCCUAUCCUUAUUUGCCAGCACAUCAUGGUGGGAACUAUAAGGAGACUGCCGGUGAUAAACCGGAGGAAGGCGGGGACGACGUCAAGUCAUCAUGGCCCUUACGACCAGGGCUACACACGUGCUACAAUGGGAAAGACAAAGAGCCGCGAAGCCGCGAGGUGUAGCUAAUCUCAGAAACCUUUUCGUAGUCCGGAUUGGAGUCUGCAACUCGACUCCAUGAAGUCGGAAUCGCUAGUAAUCGUAGAUCAGAAUGCUACGGUGAAUACGUUCCCGGGUCUUGUACACACCGCCC